ACGCGUGAAACCUUACCAGGACUUGACAUGGAAGUGACCGGACGAGAGAUCGUUCUUCUCCCGCAAGGGAGCACUUCACACAGGUGCUGCAUGGCUGUCGUCAGCUCGUGUCGUGAGAUGUUGGGUUAAGUCCCCGCAACGAGCGCAACCCUCGUUUCUAGUUGCCAUCAUUCAGUUGGGCACUCUAGAGAGACUGCCGCGAAUAACGCGGAGGAAGGUGGGGACGACGUCAAGUCAUCAUGGCCCUUAC
Molecule: ribosomal RNA, 250 nt
Filed under: uncultured bacterium
Lineage: Bacteria
Description: partial 16S ribosomal RNA
Rfam family: Bacterial small subunit ribosomal RNA
Source: RNAcentral